Non-coding RNA from Arvicanthis niloticus (Nile rat), 133 nucleotides. NCBI's taxonomy places the organism in Eukaryota, Metazoa, Chordata, Mammalia, Rodentia, Muridae. The record is from RefSeq and is a predicted model, not a curated record.
CCAACCCCUAGAGGAGUUAGAUGCAGGUGUGGCUGCUGUGUCACAUGUGUGUCAGAAGGUGGAAGAGGAGAGAGGCUAUGUCUACCCUUAGUGUCUCCACCUCUGAACAUCUGAAUGAUUAGUAGCUAACAUU